UAGCUGCAUACACACCUCACAUGAGCUA
RNAcentral lists this small RNA (28 nucleotides) under Bombyx mori (domestic silkworm). RNAcentral's name for it is "ovarian small RNA-6383". The record is from RNAcentral. Lineage: Eukaryota; Metazoa; Arthropoda; Insecta; Lepidoptera; Bombycidae.